MicroRNA precursor from Pogona vitticeps (central bearded dragon), 69 nucleotides. Lineage: Eukaryota; Metazoa; Chordata; Lepidosauria; Squamata; Agamidae. The record is from Ensembl.
CCCUCCACGCAUUAUUACUCACGGUACGAGUUUGAAGUGGCACAGCGCGUACCAAAAGUAAUAAUGAGC